Long non-coding RNA from Phasianus colchicus (ring-necked pheasant), 1103 nucleotides. RefSeq lists it as uncharacterized. The record is from RefSeq and is a predicted model, not a curated record. NCBI's taxonomy places the organism in Eukaryota, Metazoa, Chordata, Aves, Galliformes, Phasianidae.
GGUCACAGUGCAGCUGUGUUCCGUCACAGGACUGCAGAUUGAGGCCACACAGAUGCAGCAGAGCAAGACAGAUUCCUGUUAGCAGCAAGAGGUAUCCAAUGCUUGCACCCAACCAUAGUUGUAAUGAAGCCAAAAGCCAGUGAAGCUGCAUAGAAGACUUCGGAAAAGAAGUGAGGAAAGCUGUCACUGUCAGAGCGAUCUCUCACAGCACGAGCCCUUCAUUUCUCAGCGAGGCGUCAGAAGAAACAAGCAGGAUGCAAAGUCCUCCAGGAGCUUUGCAAGAAGACACACAGAGCCUCAAGUCUCACCUCCAGCUCUCCAAUGGCACUGUCAGCUCCAGAAAGCAGAGCAGGAGCAAACCUCUGGGAUAUGCCCUAGCCCUCUGGCUAUGACCAUCCAACUGAUUCUUUAUCCACAACAAUAAUAAUGAUAAAACACGACCAAUUGGGAAAAUUAGGGGAGAAGAAAAUCUGUGCCCAGUGAUCUUGCUAUGCCCUCAUGGUUCCCAUGCUGCCCCUUGGCAUGGCACAGCCCCCUGUGCCCCAGCUCCGUGAACCCCCUGCCCCAGCUCCCCUUGAUCGGGGCCCUCGCCCCCCAAAGGACUUGUUUUUUGCCUAUUUUUUUAGGGGUGGGAUUUUUCAUGAGCACUUGUGUUCCUCUCUGUCUUUCCGGAUGAAUCGUUGCUGUUUUAAGCACACAGCAAAGAUUUAUGCAGUAAUAGAUGUGGGGAAUAGCUGUGGCUCGGGGGUCUCAGAACAAUAAUACAUAAUUCAGAAAUUAAUACAGGGUAGCAAAGACAAUGGGAUUUGAAAUGAACAUUAUUGGCCAAAGCAAAAGGAAAACUCCACAGGCUCAUCAUGCGCAGAUGUCUCUGCUAUCCACACACCCAAUUAUAACUUUAGCUCUUACAAAGGGAACUGACUUAAACCGUUAAAUCUUUAUUAUUUUUUUUUCCCCACGGUGGGAGGGGGAGUGGGAGUGCAGAUUCCUUAAAGAUAGAGAGUUUAAAUUAAGCUUUAAAACUGUGACUGAGCAAGAUUUAAUACUGACAAUUAGCCUGGACAAACAGUUAAUCGUCCUGCAGGCAUAAUUUAUAUAUUCUC